Molecule: transfer RNA, 74 nt
Filed under: Halosimplex pelagicum
Lineage: Archaea; Methanobacteriati; Methanobacteriota; Halobacteria; Halobacteriales; Haloarculaceae
Description: tRNA-Cys
Rfam family: tRNA
About the family: Transfer RNA (tRNA) molecules are approximately 80 nucleotides in length. Their secondary structure includes four short double-helical elements and three loops (D, anti-codon, and T loops).
Source: RNAcentral
GUCGCGGUGGCAGAGUGGCCGAACGCACCCGCCUGCAGAGCGGGAGAGCGCCGGUUCGAAUCCGGCCCGCGACU